RNAcentral lists this long non-coding RNA (244 nucleotides) under Vigna radiata. Its description in RNAcentral is "long non-coding RNA (VRAD_LNC012233)". Lineage: Eukaryota; Viridiplantae; Streptophyta; Magnoliopsida; Fabales; Fabaceae. The record is from RNAcentral.
GGUCAUGAACUUAUGGUGGCCUCUAGUGCUCUCUAAAGCCAAUGCUAAUGGGUUUCACCUUACUACACACAAAGUUGGUUUAUUCCAAGUCUUAGGCCAUAAUGGAUCACCUAGAUUAGAACUUCUUACUACUCUCAUCACAUCCAUCACUCAUCUCUAAUUGAGAAUGAAUGAUCAUUAUUGUGUUAGGAUAACCCCUAAGAUUAAGCUUCCUACAUUCAUACCAACAACACUUUGAUACCAC